CCAGCCGGCCGGACGGCCGCUCCGGGUCAUGCCGGAGAGGAAAGUCCGGGCUCCAUGGAGACGCGGUGCCGGGUAACGCCCGGCGGGGGCGACCCUAGGGAAAGUGCCACAGAAAGCAGACCGCCGGCGCAGGCGCCGGCAAGGGUGAAAGGGUGCGGUAAGAGCGCACCGCGCGCCCGGCAACGGGAGCGGCAUGGCAAACCCCACCGGGAGCAAAACCGAAUAGGGGCGGCGCGGGCCUCGAGCCCAGGCUGGUCUCCGAGCCGCCGCCCGGGUUGGUUGCACGAGGCGUCCGGCGACGGGCGCCCCAGAGGAAUGGCCGUCGCGCGGGGCUCCGGCCCCGCCGCACAGAACCCGGCUUACAGGCCGGCUGGUCCC
RNAcentral lists this RNase P RNA (378 nucleotides) under Pseudomonadota bacterium. Its description in RNAcentral is "RNase P RNA component class A". It matches the Rfam family "Bacterial RNase P class A". Rfam says of the family: Ribonuclease P (RNase P) is a ubiquitous endoribonuclease, found in archaea, bacteria and eukarya as well as chloroplasts and mitochondria. Its best characterised activity is the generation of mature 5'-ends of tRNAs by cleaving the 5'-leader elements of precursor-tRNAs. Lineage: Bacteria; Pseudomonadati; Pseudomonadota. The record is from RNAcentral.